This 439-nucleotide ribosomal RNA is filed under the name uncultured bacterium. RNAcentral's name for it is "partial 16S ribosomal RNA". It matches the Rfam family "Bacterial small subunit ribosomal RNA", at positions 338 to 795 of the family's 1533-position model. The record is from RNAcentral.
CCUACGGGUGGCAGCAGUAGGGGAUAUUGCUCAAUGGAGGAAACCCUGAUGCAGCAACGCCGCGUGGGGGAUGAAGGUUUUCGGAUUGUAAACUCCUUUUGUUAGGGAAGAUAAUGACGGUAUCUAACGAAUAAGCACCGGCUAACUCCGUGCCAGCAGCCGCGGUAAUACGGAGGGUGCAAGCGUUGCACGGAAUUACUGGGCGUAAAGAGCGCGUAGGCGGGCGAGCAAGUUGAAUGUUAAAUCUACUAGCUUAACUGGGAGCUGAGUUUAAAACUUGUUGUAUUGAGUGAUGUAGAGGCAGGCGGAAUGUCUAGUGUAGCGGUGAAAUGCGUAGAUAUUAGGAGGAACACCAGUGGCGAAGGCGGCCUGGUGGGCUUUAACUGACGCUGAGGCUCGAAAGCGUGGGGAGCAAACAGGAUUAGAUACCCCUGUAGUC